This 564-nucleotide ribosomal RNA is filed under the name uncultured Flavobacteriia bacterium. Its description in RNAcentral is "bacterial SSU rRNA". It matches the Rfam family "Bacterial small subunit ribosomal RNA", at positions 8 to 570 of the family's 1533-position model. Lineage: Bacteria; Pseudomonadati; Bacteroidota; Flavobacteriia. The record is from RNAcentral.
AGAGUUUGAUCCUGGCUCAGGAUGAACGCUAGCGGCAGGCUCAACACAUGCAAGUCGAACGGUAACAGGGUAGCAAUACCGCUGACGAGUGGCGCACGGGUGCGUAACGCGUAUGCAACUUACCUUAAACUGGGAGAUAGCCCCUCGAAAGAGGGAUUAAUACCCCAUAGUAAUUAGAUGAGGCAUCUCAUUUAGUUUAAAGCUCAGGCGGUUUAAGAUAGGCAUGCGUGACAUUAGCUAGUUGGUGAGGUAAUGGCUCACCAAGGCUACGAUGUCUAGGGGUUCUGAGAGGAUGAUCCCCCACACUGGUACUGAGACACGGACCAGACUCCUACGGGAGGCAGCAGUAAGGAAUAUUGGACAAUGGGCGCAAGCCUGAUCCAGCCAUGCCGCGUGCAGGAUGACGGUCCUAUGGAUUGUAAACUGCUUUUUAUACGAGAAGAAACAUCCCCGACGUGUCGGGACUUGACGGUAUCGUAGAAUAAGGAUCGGCUAACUCCGUGCCAGCAGCCCCGGUAAUACGGAGGAUCCAAGCGUUAUCCGAAUCCUGGGUUUAAAGGGUCC